Molecule: long non-coding RNA, 1690 nt
Filed under: Triticum aestivum (bread wheat)
Lineage: Eukaryota; Viridiplantae; Streptophyta; Magnoliopsida; Poales; Poaceae
Description: long non-coding RNA (TAES_LNC026132)
Source: RNAcentral
GUGGUUGUUUACCAUGAUUGUUUGUUUCUUUCCGGUGUUGCUUCUUCGGGUUGGUUCCGAUAACGUCGUGUUUGUGAGGAUCCGUUCGACUAUGUCCGUUUGUCUUCUUCAUGGACUCGUUCUUCUUCCUUGCGGGAUUUCAGGCAAGAUGACCAUACCCUCGAAAUCACUUCUAUCUUUGCUUGCUAGUUGCUCGCUCUUUUGCUAUGCCUAUGCUGCGAUACCGACCACUUGCUUAUCAUGCCUCCCAUAUUGUUGAACCAAGCCUCUAACCCACCUUGUCCUAGCAAACCGUUGUUUGGCUAUGUUACCACUUUGCUCAGCCCCUCUUAUAGCGUUGUUAGUUGCAGGUGAAGAUUGAAGUUUGUUCCUUGUUGGAACAUGGAGAUGUUGUUCCUUAUUGGAACAUGUUUACUUGUUGGGAUAUCACAAUAUAUCUUAUUUAAUUAAUGCAUCUAUAUACUUGGUAAAGGGUGGAAGGCUCGGCCUUAUGCCUGGUGUUUUGUUCCACUCUUGCCGCCCUAGUUUCCGUCAUAUCGGUGUUAUGUUCCCGGAUUUUGCGUUCCUUACGCGGUUGGGUUAUAAUGGGAACCCCUUGAUAGUUCGCUUUGAAUAAAACUCCUCCAGCAAGGCCCAACAUUGUUUUUACCAUUUGCCACCUAGCCUCUUUUUCCCUUGGGUUAGGCCAGCCCAAAGGUCAUCUUUAUUUUAAACCCCCGGGCCAGUGCUCCUCUGAGUGUUGGUCCAACACAGAGCAUCGUGCAGGGCCAUCCCUUGGCAACUUGGGUUACGUCGGCUCCUGUACGCUUAGCUUAUCCGGUGUGCCCUGAGAACGAGAUAUGUGCAGCUCCUAUCGGGAUUUGUCGGCAUAGCGGGUGGUCUUGCUGGACUUGUUUUACCAUUGUCGAGGAUGUCUUGUAGAACCGGGAUACCGAGUCUGAUCGGAAUGUCUCGGGAGGAGGUCUAUUCCUUUGUUGACUGUGAGAGCUUGUGAUGGGCUAACUUGGGACACCCCUGUAGGGAUUUGAACUUUCGAAAGCCGUGCCCACGGUUAUGGGCAGAUGAUAAUUUGUUAAUGUUCGGUUGUAGAAAACCUGAAGUUGACCUUAAUUAAGAUACAUCAACCGCGUGUGUUACCGUGAUGGUCUCUUUUCGGCGGAGUCCGGGAAGUGAACACGGUGUUGGAAUUAUGCUUGACGUAGGUUGUUUUAGGACCACUUCUUGAUCAUACUUGUAUCGACUGUGCUUUGCCUUCUCUUCUCGCUCUCAUUUGCGUAUGUUAGCCACCAUAUAUGCUAGCCGCUUGCUGCAGCUCCACCUCAUACCUUUACUUUACCCAUAAGCUUAAAUAGUCUUGAUCGCGAGGAUGCGAGAUUGCUGAGUCCCUGUGGCUCACAGAUACUUCCAAAACCAGCUUGCAGGUGCCGAUGAUGCCAUUCCAGGUGACGCAACCAAGCUCAGGAGGAGCUCGAUGGAGAUCUUGUCCUUUGUGUUGUUUUCGUUCUAGUUGAUCAGUAGUGGAGCCCAGUUGGGGUCGAUCGGGGACUUUGUCGCAUUUGGGGUUCUUCUUUUAUUUUGGUUCCGUAGUCGGACCUUGAUUGUAUUUGGAUGUUGUAAUGUUUUAUUCAUGUAAUUGUGUGAAGUGGCGAUUGUAAGUCAACUAUGUAUCUCUUUCCCUUAUGUAUUAAAU